This 166-nucleotide small nuclear RNA is filed under the name Haemaphysalis longicornis (longhorned tick). Its description in RNAcentral is "U1 spliceosomal RNA". It matches the Rfam family "U1 spliceosomal RNA". Rfam says of the family: U1 is a small nuclear RNA (snRNA) component of the spliceosome (involved in pre-mRNA splicing). Its 5' end forms complementary base pairs with the 5' splice junction, thus defining the 5' donor site of an intron. The record is from Rfam by way of RNAcentral. Lineage: Eukaryota; Metazoa; Arthropoda; Arachnida; Ixodida; Ixodidae.
AUACUUACCUGGUGCCGGGCCCUCGUUGAUCACCAACGGCGAGUACCCAGGGUGAGUCGCGGGCAUUGCACUGCGCUGGCUUUGACCCCUGCCACUACCCCAAACUGGGGCAGAUGGGGCAUGGAAAUUGCUUAAAUCCGGUACAACGCAAGAGGGCGCCAUCGCC